CCUACGGGGGGCAGCAGUGGGGAAUAUUGCACAAUGGGGGAAACCCUGAUGCAGCGACGCCGCGUGAGUGAAGAAGUAAUUCGUUACGUAAAGCUCUAUCAGCAGGGAAGAAACACUGACCUUACGGUCAGCAGACGGUACCUGAGUAAGAAGCCCCGGGUAAAUACGUGCCAGCAGCCGCGGUAAUACGUAGGGGGCAAGCGUUAUCCGGAUUUACUGGGUGUAAAGGGAGCGUAGACGGUGCGCCAAGUCUGGAGGGAAAUGCCGCAGCUGAACUGCGGGACUGCUUUGGAAACUGGCGAACUAGAGUGCGGGAGGGGUAAGCGGAAUUCCUAGUGUAGCGGUGAAAUGCGUAGAUAUUAGGAGGAACACCGAGGGCGAAGGCGGCUUACUGGACCGUAACUGACGUUGAGGCUCGAAAGCGUGGGGAGCAAACAGGAUUAGAUACCCCAGUAGUC
RNAcentral lists this ribosomal RNA (458 nucleotides) under uncultured bacterium. Its description in RNAcentral is "partial 16S ribosomal RNA". It matches the Rfam family "Bacterial small subunit ribosomal RNA", at positions 338 to 795 of the family's 1533-position model. The record is from RNAcentral.